AACGAACGCUGGCGGCAGGCUUAACACAUGCAAGUCGAACGGGCACCUUCGGGUGUCAGUGGCAGACGGGUGAGUAACGCGUGGGAACGUACCCUUCGGUUCGGAAUAACCCAGGGAAACUUGGGCUAACACCGGAUACGUCCGCAAGGAGAAAGAUUUAUCGCCGAAGGAUCGGCCCGCGUCGGAUUAGCUAGUUGGUGGGGUAAUGGCCCACCAAGGCGACGAUCCGUAGCUGGUCUGAGAGGAUGAUCAGCCACACUGGGACUGAGACACGGCCCAGACUCCUACGGGAGGCAGCAGUGGGGAAUAUUGGACAAUGGGCGAAAGCCUGAUCCAGCCAUGCCGCGUGAGUGAAGAAGGCCUUAGGGUUGUAAAGCUCUUUCAGC
RNAcentral lists this ribosomal RNA (386 nucleotides) under uncultured bacterium. RNAcentral's name for it is "bacterial SSU rRNA". It matches the Rfam family "Bacterial small subunit ribosomal RNA", at positions 29 to 440 of the family's 1533-position model. The record is from RNAcentral.